GACGAACGCUGGCGGCGUGCUUAACACAUGCAAGUCGAACGGUGAAGCGCCUUCCUUUUUGGUGGGUGUGGAUGAGUGGCGAACGGGUGAGUAACACGUUAGUAACCUGCCCCCUUCUUCUGGAUAACCGCAUGAAAGUGUGGCUAAUACGGGAUAUUCUGGGUCUGUCGCAUGAUGGGUCUGGGAAAGAUAUUGUUUCGGUGGGGGAUGGGCUCGCGGCCUAUCAGCUUGUUGGUGGGGUGAUGGCCUACCAAGGCGGUGACGGGUAGCCGGCCUGAGAGGGUGGACGGUCACACUGGGACGGAGACACGGCCCAGACUCCUACGGGAGGCAGCAGUGGGGAAUAUUGCACAAUGGGCGCAAGCCUGAUGCAGCGACGCCGCGUGAGGGAUGGAGGCCUUCGGGUUGUGAACCUCUUUCGCCAGUGAAGCAGGCCUGCCUCGUUUGUGGGUGGGUUGACGGUAGCUGGAUAAGAAGCGCCGGCUAACUACGUG
Molecule: ribosomal RNA, 494 nt
Filed under: uncultured bacterium
Lineage: Bacteria
Description: partial 16S ribosomal RNA
Rfam family: Bacterial small subunit ribosomal RNA
Source: RNAcentral